GCUUGCUUUCUUUGCUGGCGGACCGGCGCACGGGUGAGUAACACGUAUCCAACCUACCCUUUACUCGGGGAUAGCCUUUCGAAAGAAAGAUUAAUACCCGAUAGCAUAAUGAUUCCGCAUGGUUUCAUUAUUAAAGGAUUCCGGUAAAGGAUGGGGAUGCGUUCCAUUAGGUUGUUGGUGGGGUAACGGCCCACCAAGCCUUCGAUGGAUAGGGGUUCUGAGAGGAAGGUCCCCCACAUUGGAACUGAGACACGGUCCAAACUCCUACGGGAGGCAGCAUG
RNAcentral lists this ribosomal RNA (281 nucleotides) under uncultured bacterium. RNAcentral's name for it is "partial 16S ribosomal RNA". It matches the Rfam family "Bacterial small subunit ribosomal RNA", at positions 78 to 353 of the family's 1533-position model. The record is from RNAcentral.